Molecule: ribosomal RNA, 253 nt
Filed under: uncultured bacterium
Lineage: Bacteria
Description: partial 16S ribosomal RNA
Rfam family: Bacterial small subunit ribosomal RNA
Source: RNAcentral
UACGUAGGUGGCGAGCGUUGUCCGGAUUUACUGGGCGUAAAGGGCGUGCAGGCGGUUUGUUAAGUGCAGGGUGAAAGCUCCCGGCUCAACUGGGAGAGGUCCUUGCAUACUGGCGAACUCGAGGGAGGCAGAGGAAAGUGGAAUUCCAGGUGUAGCGGUGAAAUGCGUAGAUAUCUGGAGGAAUACCGGUGGCGAAGGCGGCAUCCUGGACCGAGAUUGACACUGAUGAGCGAAAGCCAGGGGAGCAAACGGG